UUAAUAUUUGUUAAGCCUUAGCAAGUGACGUGAGUUUUGCAAAGUGCGAACCUAUUUGUUUUUAGGUCGAUGAUUGCGCGUGUUACGGCGCCACCUGCAUCCAGACCGUUGCAGAUAUCAUCAAGCUCAAAUAAAUGGGUAUGCAGAAUGCCACACCACAGUUAUAAUUUGGUUCCCAAGAAUUAAUUUAAUUUAAGAUAUACUCCUAGAUAGGAGUGGAAAAGAGAAUUAUUGUAAUAGCCAAAUGGCAGAGAAAACAUAAAAGCAGCUGCGUGUACCAUUUAGAGAAGGAAAAGCCUCCACUGAGAUAUAAAAGUUUUACCGCUUGAAGAAAAACAGCGUUUUUAAUUGUUAUUUUGCCUGUUGAAAGGAGAUGGAAGAUAGAUUUAAAGGUCAGAAGGUAUAUUAUCUAAUAUUAUUAUGAAAGAGAUGGAUAGGUUGUGCGAUCAUUCAGAAGCUAUAUUUUAAAAAAAUAUUAUGGAAUUAUUUUUCGAAUAUGUCAUAUUUACUGUAAGGUGGAAGAUACAGUUUCGGAAGAAAUAUUAGCUAAAAUUAUUAUAGAAGUAUUAUCCCAAAUUAUCUACCAGUCAUGUUUUAAAGUAAACGAUAUUAGCGGAAUA
Molecule: long non-coding RNA, 620 nt
Organism: Manduca sexta (tobacco hornworm)
Lineage: Eukaryota; Metazoa; Arthropoda; Insecta; Lepidoptera; Sphingidae
Exons: 3
Source: RefSeq, a predicted model, not a curated record